This 248-nucleotide unclassified non-coding RNA is filed under the name plant metagenome. RNAcentral describes it as "partial contains small subunit ribosomal RNA, internal transcribed spacer 1, and 5.8S ribosomal RNA". The record is from RNAcentral.
UUUCCGUAGGUGAACCUGCGGAAGGAUCAUUAAUGUAACCGGACCGUUCCUUUGCCGUAAAACGCACUGGAUUGGAAAGGGAGAUAUCAUACACCCUAUGUUUAUUUACCUUUGUUGCUUUGGUGGGCCGUCCUUUACGGCGUCGGCCUCGGCUGAUCGCGCCCGCCAGAGGACCCAAACUCUUUUAUUAGUGAUGUCUGAGUACUAUAUAAUAGUUAAAACUUUCAACAACGGAUCUCUUGGUUCUG